Molecule: ribosomal RNA, 496 nt
Filed under: uncultured bacterium
Lineage: Bacteria
Description: partial 16S ribosomal RNA
Rfam family: Bacterial small subunit ribosomal RNA
Source: RNAcentral
GAUGAACGCUGGCGGCGUGCCUAAUACAUGCAAGUCGAGCGAACAGACGAGGAGCUUGCUCCUCUCACGUUAGCGGCGGACGGGUGAGUCACACGUGUAUACCCUACCUAUAAGACUGGUAUCUCUUCGGGAAACCGGAUCUAACACCGGAUAAUAUAUUGAACCGCAUGGUUCAAUAGUAAAUGACGGCUUUGCUGUCACUUAUAGAUGGUUCCGGGCCGCAUUAGCUAGUUGGUAAGGUAACGGCUUACCAAGGCUACGAUGCGUAGCCGACCUGGCAGGGGGAUCGGCCACACUGGAACUGAGACACGGUCCGGAGUCCGAGGGAAGGCAGAAGUAGGGAAGCUUGCGCAAUGGGCGAAAGCCUGACGAAGCAACGCGGGGGGAGUGAUGAAGGUCUUCGGAUGGUAAAACUCUGUUAUUAGGGAAGAACGAAUGUGUAUGUAACUAUGCGCGUCUUAACGGAACGUAAAAAGAAAGCCCCGGCUAACUAGGG